This 253-nucleotide ribosomal RNA is filed under the name uncultured bacterium. Its description in RNAcentral is "partial 16S ribosomal RNA". It matches the Rfam family "Bacterial small subunit ribosomal RNA", at positions 524 to 776 of the family's 1533-position model. The record is from RNAcentral.
UACAGAGGGGGCGAGCGUUGUUCGGAAUUACUGGGCGUAAAGGGCGCGUAGGCGGCCUUCUAAGUCGAACGUGAAAUCCCCGGGCUCAACCCGGGAACUGCGUCCGAUACUGGGAGGCUUGAAUCCGGGAGAGGGAUGUGGAAUUCCAGGUGUAGCGGUGAAAUGCGUAGAUAUCUGGAGGAACACCGGUGGCGAAGGCAAUCCCCUGGGCCUGUACUGACGCUCAUGCACGAAAGCGUGGGGAGCAAACAGG